RNAcentral lists this long non-coding RNA (691 nucleotides) under Olea europaea subsp. europaea. Lineage: Eukaryota; Viridiplantae; Streptophyta; Magnoliopsida; Lamiales; Oleaceae. The record is from RNAcentral.
AUACAUAGCAAACACGUACUUCGUGAUUUUGUUUGCACAUAGCUCCCAAAUCGAUCAAGAAUGAUCGUACGAAACAAACUGCACAAGGGAAAAAAAUCCAACAAGCUUGAGAGGUAAUUGUUUUUGCGGAAGUUGCUCUUAUGAAGCAAUAAGAGGGGCUUUUUACAACUUGAAUAGGUAUUAUCUGGAAAGCAAAAUUUGGUACAUAUAUUCUGCCCCGUUUGAUUUUCAUUCUUUGGCCACAAAAAUAAAAAAUAUGACCGUUAUCUAUCUCUUGUGUGGGUCCCAUAACUACUGUAUGUUUCAUUAUUAUUCUUACAAAAAUGGGAACCAAACGGGAUCUCUGCAUACUUCCUCUUUAUAUGAUCGUCUUGAUCUAAAGUUACAAAUAAUUUUGGAAAAGCAAACACACUGCAAAUUAAUUUUAAGUAAUUGUGAAGGGAGAAUACAAAAUUGUUAAUGCUCCUCCUCGGGCUUCUUGGGUUUGCGGUAUUUUUCUUCGACUUGUUUGGCCGAGUAAAGUGCCUCAUUGAAUAACUUUUUGAUGUUGGGAACGUUGUAAUUCUGAGCUAUGUAAACUCCAAACACGGUGCCUGCAAUGAAUGAGAACUUAUUCAUUAAUAUACCCAUCGCUUCUUCUAAAGCUUUUUGAUUCUUCUUCUUCUGCAAGACUUGAAGAGAAAUAUUUGAG